RNAcentral lists this unclassified non-coding RNA (410 nucleotides) under soil metagenome. RNAcentral describes it as "partial contains 5.8S ribosomal RNA, internal transcribed spacer 2, and large subunit ribosomal RNA". The stretch from base 1 to 120 matches the Rfam family "5.8S ribosomal RNA", at positions 35 to 154 of the family's 154-position model. The record is from RNAcentral.
GAUGAAGAACGCAGCGAAAUGCGAUAAGUAAUGUGAAUUGCAGAAUUCAGUGAAUCAUCGAAUCUUUGAACGCACAUUGCGCCCGCCAGUAUUCUGGCGGGCAUGCCCGUUUCAGAAUCAUUUAAUCAUCUCAUAGCCCUUGGGUUGUGGAUGUUGGAUGUCUUUUGAACCUUCUCCUUGUGGGAGGGUGCAAUCAUCUGAAAUGUGAUUGUACGUGGCCUUGGCUAACCUGGUUGGCUGGCUUACUUGGUGCAACAGAUUAUUCAUCUUUACGCCUAGUGGCUGGACAAACAGAGCCUUGAUCUAUGCGUACACCCAAGCUUUACACAGAUGGCAUCAGCUGUCUGAUAACUUGGUCUGAAAUCGGGCAAGAAAACCCGCUGAACUUAAGCAUAUCAAUAAGCGGAGGA